UUCAAACACCGUUUCUCGUAGGUUCACCGAAGUUAAGCAACGUCGAGCCUGGUCAGUAACUAGAUGGAUGUCAUCUUGGGAAUACCAGGUGAUGUAUG
Non-coding RNA from Acanthosepion pharaonis, 98 nucleotides. The record is from the annotation of a GenBank genome assembly. Lineage: Eukaryota; Metazoa; Mollusca; Cephalopoda; Sepiida; Sepiidae.